UAGGGAAUCUUCGGCAAUGGGGGGAACCCUGACCGAGCAACGCCGCGUGAGUGAAGAAGGUUUUCGGAUCGUAAAGCUCUGUUGUUAAGGAAGAACGAGUGUGAGAAUGGAAAGUUCAUACUGUGACGGUACUUAACCAGAAAGGGACGGCUAACUACGUGCCAGCAGCCGCGGUAAUACGUAGGUCCCGAGCGUUGUCCGGAUUUAUUGGGCGUAAAGCGAGCGCAGGCGGUUAGAUAAGUCUGAAGUGAAAGGCAGUGGCUCAACCAUUGUAGGCUUUGGAAACUGUUUAACUUGAGUGCAGAAGGGGAGAGUGGAAUUCCAUGUGUAGCGGUGAAAUGCGUAGAUAUAUGGAGGAACACCGGUGGCGAAAGCGGCUCUCUAGUCUGUAACUGACGCUGAGGCUCGAAAGCGUGGGGAGCGAACAGG
This 429-nucleotide ribosomal RNA is filed under the name Bacteroidota bacterium. RNAcentral describes it as "Bacteroidetes bacterium partial 16S ribosomal RNA". It matches the Rfam family "Bacterial small subunit ribosomal RNA", at positions 355 to 776 of the family's 1533-position model. The record is from RNAcentral. Lineage: Bacteria; Pseudomonadati; Bacteroidota.